UACCCAGCUCGGGGGCAUUACGCCAGGGUGCCUGGCUUCCCCCGCAGGCCCUGGCAUCCCUCUGGGUACCAGGAUGCCGAGGUGGGGACACAGGAUGCAGAGGGGCUCUGGCCUGCUGAGUGGAGUCAGUUCAGCCCAUUCCCGUCCACCACCUGGAAUGUGGAUUUCGCUCCAGAAAAACUCAUCUGAAAAAGGCCAGGCAUGGAUCAGCCUUCGGUCCCACCCUGGAUGCUCGGGAGGGACGCUGCUCAGGCAGAGCAUCCCCGGGGUGUAAACCACAAGCAGUAGCUUCCGUAGUCCUGGAGGCUGGAAGCCUCGGAUCAGUGUCCACGAGGCUGGAGUCUGGUGAGGUCCCUGCUCCAGCUGUGCAGACGCGCCGGCUCCCUACUGUGACUUCCUGAGGCUGGAGAGAGCUCUGGGCUCCCUGACUUCUCACAGGGCCCUGGCUCCACGGCUGCACCCAAUGUGACCACCCCAAAGCCCCCACAUUCUAAUGAGAGAGGCCAGGCCUGGGACACUUCACUGCAAGACUUGCAGCCGGACAAACGUCUCCUCCAGCAACAGGAUCCGAAGAAAC
RNAcentral lists this long non-coding RNA (577 nucleotides) under Bos indicus x Bos taurus (hybrid cattle). RNAcentral describes it as "lncRNA (ENSBIXG00005009004.1)". Lineage: Eukaryota; Metazoa; Chordata; Mammalia; Artiodactyla; Bovidae. The record is from RNAcentral.